UACGUAGGGGGCAAGCGUUGUCCGGAAUUAUUGGGCGUAAAGCGCGUGUAGGCGGCUCGGUAAGUCUGCUGUGAAAGUCCAGGGCUCAACCCUGGAAUGCCGGUGGAUACUGUCGAGCUAGAGUCCGGAAGAGGCGAGUGGAAUUCCUGGUGUAGCGGUGAAAUGCGCAGAUAUCAGGAGGAACACCAAUGGCGAAGGCAGCUCGCUGGGACGGUGCUGACGCUGAGACGCGAAAGCGUGGGGAGCAAACAGG
RNAcentral lists this ribosomal RNA (253 nucleotides) under uncultured bacterium. Its description in RNAcentral is "partial 16S ribosomal RNA". It matches the Rfam family "Bacterial small subunit ribosomal RNA", at positions 524 to 776 of the family's 1533-position model. The record is from RNAcentral.